GGGUUGUGAGGUUAAGCGACUAAGCGUACACGGUGGAUGCCCUGGCAGUCAGAGGCGAUGAAGGACGUGCUAAUCUGCGAUAAGCGUCGGUAAGGUGAUAUGAACCGUUAUAACCGGCGAUUUCCGAAUGGGGAAACCCAGUGUGAUUCGUCACACUAUCAUUAACUGAAUCCAUAGGUUAAUGAGGCGAACCGGGGGAACUGAAACAUCUAAGUACCCCGAGGAAAAGAAAUCAACCGAGAUUCCCCCAGUAGCGGCGAGCGAACGGGGAGCAGCCCAGAGCCUGAAUCAGUGUGUGUGUUAGUGGAAGCGUCUGGAAAGGCGCGCGAUACAGGGUGACAGCCCCGUACACAAAAAUGCACAUACUGUGAGCUCGAUGAGUAGGGCGGGACACGUGGUAUCCUGUCUGAAUAUGGGGGGACCAUCCUCCAAGGCUAAAUACUCCUGACUGACCGAUAGUGAACCAGUACCGUGAGGGAAAGGCGAAAAGAACCCCGGCGAGGGGAGUGAAAAAGAACCUGAAACCGUGUACGUACAAGCAGUGGGAGCCUCUUAAUGGGGUGACUGCGUACCUUUUGUAUAAUGGGUCAGCGACUUAUAUUCUGUAGCAAGGUUAACCGAAUAGGGGAGCCGAAGGGAAACCGAGUCUUAACUGGGCGUUAAGUUGCAGGGUAUAGACCCGAAACCCGGUGAUCUAGCCAUGGGCAGGUUGAAGGUUGGGUAACACUAACUGGAGGACCGAACCGACUAAUGUUGAAAAAUUAGCGGAUGACUUGUGGCUGGGGGUGAAAGGCCAAUCAAACCGGGAGAUAGCUGGUUCUCCCCGAAAGCUAUUUAGGUAGCGCCUCGUGAAUUCAUCUCCGGGGGUAGAGCACUGUUUCGGCAAGGGGGUCAUCCCGACUUACCAACCCGAUGCAAACUGCGAAUACCGGAGAAUGUUAUCACGGGAGACACACGGCGGGUGCUAACGUCCGUCGUGAAGAGGGAAACAACCCAGACCGCCAGCUAAGGUCCCAAAGUCAUGGUUAAGUGGGAAACGAUGUGGGAAGGCCCAGACAGCCAGGAUGUUGGCUUAGAAGCAGCCAUCAUUUAAAGAAAGCGUAAUAGCUCACUGGUCGAGUCGGCCUGCGCGGAAGAUGUAACGGGGCUAAACCAUG
RNAcentral lists this ribosomal RNA (1157 nucleotides) under Escherichia coli. RNAcentral describes it as "partial 23S ribosomal RNA". It matches the Rfam family "Bacterial large subunit ribosomal RNA", at positions 1 to 1191 of the family's 2925-position model. Lineage: Bacteria; Pseudomonadati; Pseudomonadota; Gammaproteobacteria; Enterobacterales; Enterobacteriaceae. The record is from RNAcentral.